UACGGAGGAUGCGAGCGUUAUCCGGAUUCAUUGGGUUUAAAGGGUGCGCAGGCGGGUAUAUAAGUCGGAGGUGAAAUUCUGAUGCUCAACAUCAGCCGUGCCUUCGAUACUGUAUAUCUAGAGUCAAGUUGGAGUAGGCGGAAUGUGUUGUGUAGCGGUGAAAUGCUUAGAUAUAACACAGAACACCGAUCGCGAAGGCAGCUUACUAAACUUUGACUGACGCUCAUGCACGAAAGCGUGGGGAUCAAACAGGAUUAGAUACCCUGGUAGUCCACGCUGUAAACGAUGAUUACUCGCUGUUGGCGAUACACAGUCAGUGGCUAAGCGAAAGUGAUAAGUAAUCCACCUGGGGAGUACGACGGCAACGUUGAAACUCAAAGGAAUUGACGGGGGCCCGCACAAGCGGAGGAGCAUGUGGUUUAAUUCGAUGAUACGCGAGGAACCUUACCAGGGCUAGAACGCAAGUUGAUUAUGUGCGAAAGUAUAUAUCUCUUCGGAGCAAUUUGCGAGGUGCUGCAUGGUUGUCGUCAGCUCGUGCCGUGAGGUGUCAGGUUAAGUCCUAUAACGAGCGCAACCCCUACUCUUAGUUGCCAGCAUGUCGUGAUGGGGACUCUAAGAGAACUGCCUACGCAAGUAGAGAGGAAGGUGGGGAUGACGUCAAAUCAGCACGGCCCUUAUGUCCUGGGCUACACACGUGCUACAAUGGUCGGUACAGAGGGCAGCUACCUGGUGACAGGAUGCUAAUCUCAAAAGCCGGUCUCAGUUCGGAUCGGAGUCUGCAACUCGACUCCGUGAAGUUGGAUUCGCUAGUAAUCGCGCAUCAGCCAUGGCGCGGUGAAUACGUUCCCGGGCCU
RNAcentral lists this ribosomal RNA (854 nucleotides) under uncultured bacterium. RNAcentral describes it as "SSU rRNA". It matches the Rfam family "Bacterial small subunit ribosomal RNA", at positions 524 to 1381 of the family's 1533-position model. The record is from RNAcentral.